RNAcentral lists this ribosomal RNA (460 nucleotides) under uncultured bacterium. Its description in RNAcentral is "partial 16S ribosomal RNA". It matches the Rfam family "Bacterial small subunit ribosomal RNA", at positions 338 to 795 of the family's 1533-position model. The record is from RNAcentral.
CCUACGGGAGGCAGCAGUGAGGAAUAUUGGUCAAUGGACGAGAGUCUGAACCAGCCAAGUAGCGUGAAGGAUGACUGCCCUAUGGGUUGUAAACUUCUUUUAUAUGGGAAUAAAAUGUUCCACGUGUGGGAUUUUGUAUGUACCAUAUGAAUAAGGAUCGGCUAACUCCGUUCCAGCAGCCGCGGUAAUACGGAGGAUCCGAGCGUUAUCCGGAUUUAUUGGGUUUAAAGGGAGCGUAGGUGGAUUGUUAAGUCAGUUGUGAAAGUUUGCGGCUCAACCGUAAAAUUGCAGUUGAAACUGGCAGUCUUGAGUAGAGUAGAGGUGGGCGGAAUUCGUGGUGUAGCGGUGAAAUGCUUAGAUAUCACGAAGAACUCCGAUUGCGAAGGCAGUUCACUGGACUGCAACUGACACUGAGGCUCGAAAGUGUGGGUAUCAAACAGGAUUAGAUACCCUUGUAGUC